Long non-coding RNA from Rhinopithecus roxellana (golden snub-nosed monkey), 1237 nucleotides. RefSeq lists it as uncharacterized. Lineage: Eukaryota; Metazoa; Chordata; Mammalia; Primates; Cercopithecidae. The transcript is spliced from 3 exons. The record is from RefSeq and is a predicted model, not a curated record.
UUUUGUUUCUGCAGUCUACGGGAGCGUGGUCACGUGAGCUGCACCUCCCACGAGCCUGGGAGGACCGAGGUGGCGUGGCGGCCUCUAGGGGGAGCACGAGAGCACUGAGUCGUGGGCGGAGAGCGCGCGGCGCCUGUGCUCCGCGCAGCCCUGCGCGGUGGCGCUCGCGAAAUGCCCGGCCUCUAAGGCCUUUGGAGACCACAGUCUCCGCGGACCCCUGACUGGAGCCCAAAGCCGACCGAACUUCCUCCCCGCGUUUCCCCUACUGCCUCUCGGAGAGGAAGGUAGGAGAGCCCCCAAAUAUCAUUCCCCUCCCGCCCCCUAGGGAAACUGAGGCUGAAAGAGCCAGCGAGAGAGAGAAAAAAAAAAGUCGGGGAGGGGGGCGGCCCGAGCAACCUAAGGGACCGGGCAGCGCCAGCGACGGAGGGAAAUUAGUCGGGGUCGGGGAACAGGGAGACAAGCCUCCAGAAUUUAGGAAACUCCGAAGCUUGUAGCUGGAGUCCUGAAAUUGACUCAGAUGACAACUGCUCCAGAUCUGUGCCAGGAGCCACGCCCCCAGCUGCCUCGCCCGGAGGCAGGGGGGCCCUAAGACCUGUUGCGCGGAAUCCCCACUCGGAAAGCCUCGGUAAACUCCAGAAGGCGGCUACUGCAUGUUCCAAUCUCCUGCCACCUUCCCAGUGUCUCAGAGAAUAAGAUACAGAAAUGAAAAUGAAAAGAAAAUUUGGUACUACAGCACAAAGGUCCAGCUUGCAGAAUUAACUGACUGUCUAAACAAAGAUUAUUGGGAAGCAGAGAUCUACAAAAUUCGGGAAGAAAUGCGUGAAGAAAUCCACCGACACAUGGAUAUAACUGAAGACCUGACUGAUAAGGCUCGGGGCAGUAACAAAUCCUUUCUGGCAGAAGCUAAUGGCACAACGUCAAUGUGGUACUAGAAGAGGAGGGAUUCACAAGAAUUGAAAAUUGAAGGGGAAGAGAAGGGGUAACUAACAUUUUUGAGUGUCUGCUGUGGGCCAGGUGCUCAACGAGGUAUUUUACAAUUCUUUAAUUCUCUCAGCGUCUUUUCAAGGAGUAUAUUGUCAGUGAAUUGAACAUUCAGAUAGAAGAAUCCCCCAUUAAAACACCAGUCCCCCACCGUUACCUUUAUUUGUUCUCUCUGGUAACCAAAAUCUUGGCUAUGAUAGUUUAGGACCACCCAGUCCAGGUGAAUACCCAAAAUAAUAUCUAAUAGUGUUCUUUA